GGGGAAGGAGGCGCGGAAGCUGGUGUGCGGGGGCCACCCAGUGUGGGCUCAGGAAGGGCAGGAGUGUGACCGAGGCCGGGUGUGGCCGGGAGAGCACAGCCAGUUGUGGGUUUUUCUUGGGGCCCAGAUAGACAUGAGCAGGGACGGAGGCCCCUCUCACUCAGCCCCCGCCACACACACUAGGGCCUUUCUUCA
This 195-nucleotide long non-coding RNA is filed under the name Sus scrofa (pig). RNAcentral describes it as "KCNQ1 overlapping transcript 1 conserved region 2 (ENSSSCG00070015041.1)". It matches the Rfam family "KCNQ1 overlapping transcript 1 conserved region 2". Lineage: Eukaryota; Metazoa; Chordata; Mammalia; Artiodactyla; Suidae. The record is from RNAcentral.